This is a long non-coding RNA of Gadus morhua (Atlantic cod), 338 nucleotides long. RefSeq lists it as uncharacterized. The transcript is spliced from 3 exons. Lineage: Eukaryota; Metazoa; Chordata; Actinopteri; Gadiformes; Gadidae. The record is from RefSeq and is a predicted model, not a curated record.
GCUUUGGUCGCUCCUGGUGUGGACGUACAGUUAGCCGUAUGUGAGGUGUUACUAUAAGCAGGACUGCAGUGCCCAUAAUCGCCCCUUUCAACCCGUCGGAUGCCAGACUGACACGCCUCAGAUUAUAUCGACGGGAACCCAAACAAACUCGCCGAUGGGAAUGCAUUCUGUGGGAAUACAAAGUGCACGGUUGAAGUCGGCACACAGUUGUCCAUGGGAUCGAUAAAGGCACACGUAAGAAGCAAAGUUGUAUCUUGCAUCAAUGCACCACAAUGAAAAUGCAUCACAGGAGCAAGCUACGACUUCUGCAGGGCAGGCGAAGAGUGGGGAAGGUGUUG